Molecule: small RNA, 282 nt
Filed under: Arabidopsis thaliana (thale cress)
Lineage: Eukaryota; Viridiplantae; Streptophyta; Magnoliopsida; Brassicales; Brassicaceae
Description: ATSL083230
Source: RNAcentral
AGUGAACCAUCACCAUUGAUUUUACUGCUAGGAAGAUCUUAAAGAGUGAUAUGCCUGACUGGUUUAAAUGCAGCGGGUGCGGCUGCGGUUGCGGGAGUUUGCGGAAACGAGCGGUUGCGGUUUCAAGCGUUAUCAAACGUUCUGAACGACUGGUUGAGCGUUUGAUAAUGGGUGCGUUUACGGGAAUUUUAUGACUGGUAAACCAGCGGGUGCGAUAAUAAUUAAAUAAAAAAAUAACCAAAAUAAAUAUAAUAUAUUACUAUUAAAAAAAAUGAAAAAAAU